AUAGCAAAAGGAAGAAAAAAAAAGUCCACAAAGCACUUAGCUGUCAGCCAUAUCAUCUGAAGUAAAUUCAAGGGAAUUGAUUUGUUUUAAUUCUUCAGUAUUUCUAAUUGGUCCCAAGCCAAUUGCCAGUUAGGACUCAUAACAUUAAAUUCAGGUUAACCAUUCGGUUGCUGAUCUUUGCACUAUCCGUAUAUUACAACUUCAGGCCUCCUCCAUUGGCCACUUCUUAGUGAUCACAUGAACACUCUUCUCUAUUCCUUUGUGAUGCUAAGAAUGCUUUUGAUGAAACAAAAUAUACUUAGUGGGCUUCUAGUAGAUUAGCAAAGCAACUGAAUGCCUGAGUGGGUCAAAGCAGUGAUCUCUUUUGGUCUGAUAGUAAAGAAUACCUGAAGGCAUGUGUUGCUGUACACUGAAAUGGAAAUGGAAAUAGGAAACUACAGCUAGAGACGCUUAGGCCUGUAAGGCUGGGAAAACCAAGCAGAAUUGUAUAGACUGGUUAUAGAGCAGGAGGGUCAGUCGGGAAGCUGAGCCUUGGGAAACAUCAAACAUUGGUGUCAGCAUUGCUCCCUUGGUGUCCCUUCCCAGCUCAAGGCCAUGUCAUCCUGAUGCUCAUCUCCACAGCCAGCAAUCCAAUGGAUAUUUAUUGGGUAACUCCUGUGCUUCACAUAAUACUUAGGUCCUGAGCAUAAAAAGUAAAUGAGCCACAAAGUCAUUCUUAUUAAUGUGCUCACAAUCUAGUAGAAACGUUAUGUAAACACAUAAUUACAAUAAAGUAAGUUUGGAAAAUAGGGGCAGGCUAUACAAUUUGUAUAAAGGGAAGGGCGAUUUGCAUUGCAUGUGUCAAAACUCAGCGACAUUGUGAAGUGAAAGCAUGACAGUGGGAGUGACAGAUGAUGACUUCUGGGAAAAGGAAACAGGUUGUGCAAAACCACAGAGGAUUGAAACACUCUAGCAGUUACAUGUAGGUGCCACUCUGUCACAAUUUGUAAUGUAGAAAUUGUUUCCAUUUGAAAAGGGACCCAGGGAGCAUUUGAGCAAGAUUUUGCAAAGGGGAGUAUAUGUGGAGGUAAGGCUGAGGAGGCAGGC
This 1086-nucleotide long non-coding RNA is filed under the name Callithrix jacchus (white-tufted-ear marmoset). Its description in RNAcentral is "lncRNA (ENSCJAG00000070702.1)". The record is from RNAcentral. Lineage: Eukaryota; Metazoa; Chordata; Mammalia; Primates; Cebidae.